GCUGGCGGCAGGCCUAACACAUGCAAGUCGAGCGCUGUAGCAAUACAGAGUCGGCGCACGGGUGAGUAACACGUGGGAACGUGCCCAACGGUUCGGAAUAACUCAGGGAAACUUGAGCUAAUACCGGAUACGCCCCUUCGGGGGGAAAGAUUUAUCGCCGAUGGAGCGGCCCGCGUCCGAUUAGCUUGUUGGUGAGGUAAAAGCUUACCAAGGCGACGAUCGGUAGCUGGUUUGAGAGAACGAUCAGCCACACUGGGACUGAGACACGGCCCAGACUCCUACGGGAGGCAGCAGUGGGGAAUCUUGGACAAUGGGGGAAACCCUGAUCCAGCCAUGCCGCGUGAGUGAUGAAGGCCCUAGGGUUGUAAAACUCUUUCGGCGGGGACGAUAAUGACGGUACCCGCAGAAGAAGCUCCGGCUAACUUCGUGCCAGCAGCCGCGGUAAUACGAAGGGGGCUAGCGUUGUUCGGAAUUACUGGGCGUAAAGCGCGCGCAGGCGGUUUUCCAAGUCAGAGGUGAAAGCCCAGAGCUCAACUCUGGAACUGCCUUUGAAACUGGAGAACUAGGGUACGGGAGAG
Molecule: ribosomal RNA, 578 nt
Filed under: uncultured Alphaproteobacteria bacterium
Lineage: Bacteria; Pseudomonadati; Pseudomonadota; Alphaproteobacteria
Description: bacterial SSU rRNA
Rfam family: Bacterial small subunit ribosomal RNA
Source: RNAcentral